This 235-nucleotide ribosomal RNA is filed under the name uncultured Glomus. RNAcentral's name for it is "partial 18S ribosomal RNA". It matches the Rfam family "Eukaryotic small subunit ribosomal RNA", at positions 548 to 785 of the family's 1831-position model. The record is from RNAcentral. Lineage: Eukaryota; Fungi; Glomeromycota; Glomeromycetes; Glomerales; Glomeraceae.
UUGGAGGGCAAGUCUGGUGCCAGCAGCCGCGGUAAUUCCGGCUCCAAUAGCGUAUAUUAAAGUUGUUGCAGUUAAAAAGCUCGUAGUUGAAUUUCGGGGUUAGUAGGUUGGUCGUGCCUAUGGUAUGUACUGGCUUUACUGAUUCCUCCUUCUUGAAGAACUGUAAUGUCAUUAAUUUGGUGUUGCAGGGAAACAGGACUGUUACUUUGAAAAAAUUAGAGUGUUUAAAGCAGGC